Molecule: long non-coding RNA, 270 nt
Organism: Lolium rigidum
Lineage: Eukaryota; Viridiplantae; Streptophyta; Magnoliopsida; Poales; Poaceae
Exons: 3
Source: RefSeq, a predicted model, not a curated record
AGGUGAAGGCCUAUAAGGGUUUGUCGGUUUGCAAGGCACCGGUUCUUGAGGCAAGCUUAUUUGGAUCACGUGGGCAGCUCAGGCGUGGAGCAGAAAAUCAAGAAGAUUUGAUUUGGAGUUUGGGAAGGUAACUAAGGAUAUACAUUGCCAAAGUUCCACAUGUAUCCUCUGUUCCCUGCUUUGGUUUGGAUACUUGCUUGCCACCUUUGUUGGAAAUUAGCUUCCUGGGUAGAUCGGUUUCAAAUAGCUAUAUUGAGGCUUCGUAAAUAU